Long non-coding RNA from Lycium barbarum (goji berry), 552 nucleotides. RefSeq lists it as uncharacterized. The transcript is spliced from 3 exons. The record is from RefSeq and is a predicted model, not a curated record. Lineage: Eukaryota; Viridiplantae; Streptophyta; Magnoliopsida; Solanales; Solanaceae.
UACAUAUCAUUUCAGAACAAUGGCCGUCCUCUUUCUUCUCUCCUUUUCUUUUCUCAGUUGUUUGAUUACAUCCCAAGUAAUAUAUGAUAACAAACUGUUGUUUUGUUAUCUGUUUCUCUUUGGUUCCUUCCUUUCCUUUUCCUAUUUGGAACUAUAUCCUUGAGAUUCACUUAUGGUGUCAGAACGUAAAUUGAACAUAAUUUUUUUUUUCCUCAUUCUUUAAAAGAUUUUCUCAUGCCCAUUUAUGUCCCAAACUUUCAUUGAAGGUUCCUAAUCUUUGCAUCAAUGGUUUCAUAUUCUAAGGAUUCGCCUCCAACAACCCAGGCCUUCAUGCCACCCCUGAUGAAGCUUACUUUUACAACAAACUGACCCUAAAGUCAGUCUUUGAAUUCUACUCCAAAGUGCUACGAAUAUCAGAAAGAGGGGGAGCAGAUGGGUCGGAAAUUCUACCGCGAGAUAUUUUUCAGUGGCAAUGAAAGGGAGGAGAAAUGAAAUUGGGUAUGGUUACUAUUUUUGAGUUGGAAAACAAAGAGCUUGAUGGGUUGAGCUGUU